GCCAAACAGCUAGCUUAACCACCAAAACUAAUCAAAUGAUAUAAAUAAUAUAAAACUGACCUAAACCAACAAACCAAAUCAUUCUUCCACCCUAGUACGGGAGACGGAAAAGGUUCUUCAAGCAAUAGAGAAAGUACCGCAAGGGAAAGAUGAAAAAGUAAUGAAAUAAUCCAUAUAAGCAAAUAAAAGCAGAGACUCCCCCUCGUACCUUUUGCAUCAUGAUUUAGCAAGCACCCCACAAGCAAAAAGAUUUUUAGUUUGAACCCCCGAAACCAAGUGAGCUACCCCGGGACAGCCUAUAGGGCCAACCCGUCUCUGUGGCAAAAGAGUGGGAAGAGCCCCGGGUAGAGGUGACAGACCUACCGAACUUGGUGAUAGCUGGUUGCCCAAGAAAUGGAUAGAAGUUCAGCCUCGUGCCCCUUUACUCAAAAAUAAAAACUUAUAAUAAAGCAUAAAAGAGAAGCACGAGAGUUAGUUGAAGGGGGUACAGCCCCUUUAACCAAGGACACAACCUUAACAAGAGGAUAAGGAUCAUACUUCUCAAAAUUAAUCGUCCUAGUGGGCCUAAAAGCAGCCACCUAAACAGAAAGCGUUAAAGCUCAGAUGAUACAAAGUUUAUUAUUCUGAUAAAAAAUCCAACUCCCUUAAAAAUAAUGGGCCACUCCAUGCUAACAUGGAGGAGACCAUGCUAAAAUGAGUAACAAGAGGACUACUAAACCUCUCCAAGCAUAAGUGUAAGCCAGACCGGACAAACCACUGGAACUUAACGAACCCAUACAAAGAGGGCAAUGCGGACCCAAAGAAAAUCAAGAAAACCCCGCACUACUACAUCGUUAAUCCCACACUGGAGUGCUAUCCUGGAAAGACUAAAAGAUAGGGAAGGAACUCGGCAAACACAAGCCUCGCCUGUUUACCAAAAACAUCGCCUCCUGCAAAUAGCCACGUAUAGGAGGUCCAGCCUGCCCGGUGACUACAUGUUCAACGGCCGCGGUAUUUUGACCGUGCAAAGGUAGCGCAAUCACUUGUCUUUUAAAUGAAGACCCGUAUGAAUGGCCAAACGAGGGCUUAACUGUCUCCCCCAUCAAGUCAGUGAAAUUGAUCUGCCCGUGCAGAAGCGGGCAUAAAACUACAAGACGAGAAGACCCUUUGGAGCUUAAGGUACAAACCCAUCUACGUUAAACAACUUUAUUAGUAAGUGCAAACCUAAUAGUAAGUGGAAUUUUACCUUCGGUUGGGGCGACCGCGGAGAACAAUAAAUCCUCCAAGUGGACUGGGACCACCCUAAAACCAAGAAAGACAUUUCUAAGCCACAGAAAAUCUGACCAAGUAUGAUCCGAUCCCCCAGAUCGAUCAACGAACCAAGUUACCCUAGGGAUAACAGCGCAAUCCUCUUCAAGAGUCCAUAUCGACAAGAGGGUUUACGACCUCGAUGUUGGAUCAGGACAUCCUAAUGGUGCAGCCGCUAUUAAGGGUUCGUUUGUUCAACGAUUAAAGUCCUACGUGAUCUGAGUUCAGACCGGAGCAAUCCAGGUCAGUUUCUAUCUGUAACGCCACUUUUCCUAGUACGAAAGGACCGGAAAAAGAAGGCCCAUGCUAAAAGCACGCCUUACCCCUAAUUAAUGAAGUCAACUUAAUUAAACAAAGGGGGACAAAACUGAUGCCAAAAUAAGGCCAC
This 1675-nucleotide ribosomal RNA is filed under the name Nemacheilus masyai (arrow loach). RNAcentral describes it as "16S rRNA". The stretch from base 106 to 1562 matches the Rfam family "Bacterial large subunit ribosomal RNA". The record is from RNAcentral. Lineage: Eukaryota; Metazoa; Chordata; Actinopteri; Cypriniformes; Nemacheilidae.